This 333-nucleotide ribosomal RNA is filed under the name uncultured bacterium. Its description in RNAcentral is "partial 16S ribosomal RNA". It matches the Rfam family "Bacterial small subunit ribosomal RNA", at positions 338 to 682 of the family's 1533-position model. The record is from RNAcentral.
CCUACGGGAGGCAGCAGUCGAGAAUCAUUCACAAUGGGGGAAACCCUGAUGGGGCGACGCCGCGUGGGGGAAUGAAGGUCUGCGGAUUGUAAACCCCUGUCAUGUGGGAGCAAAGUAAAAAGAUAGUACCACAAGAGGAAGAGACGGCUAACGCUGGGCCAGCAGCCGCGGUAAGACAGAGGUCUCAAGCGUUGUUCGGAAUCCCUGGGCGUAACGGGUGCGUAGGCUGUUUCGUAAGUCGUGUGUGAAAGGCGCGGGCUCCACCCGCGGACGGCACCUGAUACUGCGAGACUAGAGUACUGGAGGGGUAACCGGAAUUCUCGGUGUAGCCGU